This 433-nucleotide ribosomal RNA is filed under the name uncultured bacterium. Its description in RNAcentral is "partial 16S ribosomal RNA". It matches the Rfam family "Bacterial small subunit ribosomal RNA", at positions 29 to 507 of the family's 1533-position model. The record is from RNAcentral.
AACGAACGCUGGCGGCAUGCCUAACACAUGCAAGUCGAACGAGAUCUUCGGAUCUAGUGGCGCACGGGUGCGUAACGCGUGGGAAUCUUCCCUUUGCUUCGGAAUAACAGUGAUAAAUUACUGCUAAUACCGGAUGAUGUCUUCGGACCAAAGAUUUCUCGGCAAAGGAUGAGCCCGCGUAGGAUUAGGUAGUUGGUGGGGUAAUGGCCUACCAAGCCGACGAGCCUUAGCUGGUCUGAGAGGAUGAUCAGCCACACUGGGAGUGAGACACGGCCCAGACUCUUACGGGAGGCGGCAGUGGGGAAUAUUGGACAAUGGGGGAAAACCUGAUACAGCAAGGCCGAGUGAGGGAUGAAGGCCUUAGGGUUGUAAAGCUAUUUUACCAGGGAUGAUAAUGACAGUACCUGAAGAAUAAGCUCCGGCUAACUCCGUG